UGAUUCAUUCCACUAGUGUUUAGACCUGAGCACUGAUCCACAUGUUCGACAUCUGAAUAUGCACUUACCAAUAAUACUUAGGACUAAAAAGAACAAGCAGAGGGUUUUGUCAUCAUAAUGUAACCAGAAAGAAGUGACACACAUAGCUGAUAGUAAGAAGUAAUCUGCUUUGGUUUAUUCAAAAUCAAAUUUCCUAAAAGAAUGAAAAUAUAUAAGGUAUUAACAUAUAAUUGCUAACCAUACAAUUUCGGGGUGUUUUGCUAUCUUUUGAAAUGUUAAUUCCUGCUUCUACUAGUCAUCUGAUGCUGCUUCUGGUAGUUUUUUUUUCCAAUUAAAAUUAUUUUAGAUCAAACCAAUCCUUUCUAGAAAUGACACACAUUUCAAGAGAAUAGGAGUGAAAACCAGCACACUGUAGGGACUCACCACAUUAGCUACUGAUACAUGAAAGCUUUAAUCUCAAAAGAAUUUAAUAAUCCAUGAAAAACAUUUCAAGUAAAUAUUUCAAAAAGACAUCUAAAAAUUAGGAUGCCAGUAAACAAUUCUAAUUAAAUAUAAUCCUUCCCUAAAGAUUUCUCAGUACUGUAAAAUGCUUAAGGGACAAAAGUUUCUUUGUAAACAUUUGUUGAUAAAUCCAAAGAAAAGUAUAAUAUUCACGGGACUCUGACCUUCUGUGUAACAUACAAAAAUCAAAAUAAGAUAUCAAUAAUAGUGAAGACCUAAACCUAACAAAGAUGUACUUUUCCCUAACAACAAUAAGCCUUGUAUUCUCAAACAGAACACUGUUAUGAUAUGAGCAAAAGCCAAACAGUGUGGGCUGAGUAAUACUAACUCAGUCUGUCUUGUUUUUCUUUGUUACAUACUGGGACACAGAUUAGCACAUUUUGAUGCGAACUUAGAAGGUAACAUUAAGAAAUUAGAUGUGAGGUCAUAACUUUCUAUUUUAAUUUGCGACUCUGGACCUUAAUGCAGCAUUGCAUUGCACAUCUCUCUCCUUAUGUCUAAAGAAUAGCACUGGCAAAAGUGUGCUGAAAGUCCCUAAAAAUGGCAUCUCUGUGUAUGUGUGUGUGUGGCGGUGGAGUGGGGGAACAGCAACCCUG
This 1097-nucleotide long non-coding RNA is filed under the name Homo sapiens (human). RNAcentral's name for it is "HSALNT0071099". The record is from RNAcentral. Lineage: Eukaryota; Metazoa; Chordata; Mammalia; Primates; Hominidae.